This is a small nucleolar RNA of Suncus etruscus (white-toothed pygmy shrew), 99 nucleotides long. RefSeq annotates it as small nucleolar RNA SNORD116. The record is from RefSeq and is a predicted model, not a curated record. NCBI's taxonomy places the organism in Eukaryota, Metazoa, Chordata, Mammalia, Eulipotyphla, Soricidae. The transcript has a single exon.
AUAUCAAUGAUGAGUACCUCUAACUUUGCAUUUCUUGCAAAACCUGAACAAAAUUAGUGAGAACUCCUACUGCCACUGUUCUCAUUGUAUCUGAGGUCC